Molecule: long non-coding RNA, 1302 nt
Filed under: Homo sapiens (human)
Lineage: Eukaryota; Metazoa; Chordata; Mammalia; Primates; Hominidae
Description: non-protein coding lnc-VPS50-1:8
Source: RNAcentral
AGUCGCGUCGGGCCUCCCGAGGGGGCUGCGAGUGUCAGUCGGCUCUCCGCACGUGUCCGCGGCCUCGCGGAGCAGUCCACCCCUGGCUGGUUUCUGCUUCCACCUGCUGAUCUCACAGAGGUGAGGUGAUAACAGUGAUGAAACAAAAUCUUCAAACCACAGCACACUUGAUUUUGACACAAAGCAAGAUACUGAACAUUAACACCACCACAGAGGCCUACUAUGUGCUCCUGUCCCUGUUGUUACUUCCUCCAAAGUGUUGGAGGAGGGGCCUUGUGGAAGGUGAUUGAAUCACGGGGACGGACUUUCCUGUUGCUGCUCUUGUGAUGGAUUUCUCACAAGAUCUGGUUGUUUGAAAGUGUGUAGCACCUGCCACUUCACUCCCUCUCUCUCCUCCUGGCCAUGUGAAGACUGUGCCUGCUUCCUCUUUGUCUUCCACCAUGAUUCACUGCAAGCUAUUUGGCAUAUGAAGGUCUUGACCUGAGAAAACCAUCUUGGAUAACUGCAGCAAGGAAAAGGAAAAAUGCAACACCUAGGAGAUUUCAGUAAACAGUAGAAUCAUGCCAACCUAAUCUGUGUUAAAAUGCUUGGAAUGUGGGAGCCGCUGAUGAUGCCUCUUGUCUGUGUGUCUGACUGAAUCCUUUCUUUUCUCAGAGCAGCAAAGCAAAGCCUGGGAACCAGGCCAAAUGCCUGCCACUUACCUUAAAUUGAUCAGCCACUUUGAGAUUAAAACCCCUGAAAGCUGCCACACCGUGAAAACAAGGCCUCCUUCACAUUAAAGGCAAAUUGCGACUUUGGGUUUGCUGUGAUCUUUUUUCCAUUUUAUCCAGUUUUUCACAGUGCACUUUUUUCCCCCUUUCCAUUUAUGCUCCAAUAUAGAAGCCAAUAGUUACAGCAUCUUGGCCAAGCAUUCAUUAAGGUUUAUAAGAACAAAAUUUAUGGUUAUUUAGGAGUUGGCACAAAGGCAGACUGUUGCUGGAAAAAGAAAAAGAAAUACAGGUGGGAAAUAGAAGCCUCCACAAAGGCCCACACUAUACAGUAGUGUACUAGACUCUAGUAGUGGGCUGGGAGGAAAAUGAAAUAGUAUUUGAAACCAGCUACUCUUCUAUUCUGAAUCAUUCUCAUUUAUGGCUCUGCAGAUUAUUGAAACAAGUAUACUGGUUAUUCCAGGAGAUUUUUCUGUCUUGGGUAAAUGCUACCAUUUACAGGAGCUGACAGUAGAGAUAAAUAGAUGUGUGCCAAUCUGAGUGAUCUGGCAGUUUGGCUAAAGGAUAAAGUGCAUUUAAAAAAGAAAUAUAUAUA